AUUGACAGCUGGCGGCCGGCCAAACACAUGCCUGUCGAACGAGUGGCGGACGGGUGAGUAAUGUCUGGGAAACUGCCUGAUGGAGGGGGAUAACUACUGGAAACGGUAGCUAAUACCGCAUACCAUCGGAUGUUCCCAGAUGGGAUUAGCUAGUAGGUGGGGUAACGGCUCACCUAGGCGACGAUCCCUAGCUGGUCUGAGAGGAUGACCAGCCACACGGGAACGGAGACACGGUCCAGACUCCUACGGGAGGCAGCAGUGGGGAAGAGUGCACAAUGGGCGCAAGCCUGAUGCAGCCAUGCCGCGGGUAUGAAGAAGGCCUUCGGGUGGUAAAGUACUUUGAGCGGGGAGGCGUUACCCGCAGAAGAAGCACCGGCUAACUCCGUGCCAGCCGCCGCGGUAAUAC
This 406-nucleotide ribosomal RNA is filed under the name uncultured bacterium. RNAcentral's name for it is "partial 16S ribosomal RNA". It matches the Rfam family "Bacterial small subunit ribosomal RNA", at positions 29 to 526 of the family's 1533-position model. The record is from RNAcentral.